UUUAUGGAGAGUUUGAUCCUGGCUCAGGAUGAACGCUGGCGGCGUGCCUAAUACAUGCAAGUCGAGCGAACAGAUAAGGAGCUUGCUCCUUUGAAGUUAGCGGCGGACGGGUGAGUAACACGUGGGUAACCUACCUAUAAGACUGGGAUAACUUCGGGAAACCGGAGCUAAUACCGGAUAACAUUUAGAACCGCAUGGUUCUAAAGUGAAAGAUGGUUUUGCUAUCACUUAUAGAUGGACCCGCGCCGUAUUAGCUAGUUGGUAAGGUAACGGCUUACCAAGGCGACGAUACGUAGCCGACCUG
This 304-nucleotide ribosomal RNA is filed under the name Staphylococcus xylosus. RNAcentral's name for it is "partial 16S ribosomal RNA". It matches the Rfam family "Bacterial small subunit ribosomal RNA", at positions 1 to 294 of the family's 1533-position model. The record is from RNAcentral. Lineage: Bacteria; Bacillati; Bacillota; Bacilli; Caryophanales; Staphylococcaceae.